GCCUGGAUAGCUCAGUCGGCAGAGCGCAUUCUUGGUAAGAAUGAGGUCUCGGGUUCGAUUCCCGAUCCAGGCU
Molecule: transfer RNA, 73 nt
Filed under: Pseudomonadota bacterium
Lineage: Bacteria; Pseudomonadati; Pseudomonadota
Also listed under: 2 other names
Description: tRNA-Thr
Rfam family: tRNA
About the family: Transfer RNA (tRNA) molecules are approximately 80 nucleotides in length.
Source: RNAcentral